GACGAACGCUGGCGGCGUGCUUAACACAUGCGAGUCGAGCGGAAAGGCCCUUCGGGGUACUCGAGCGGCGAACGGGUGAGUAACACGUGAGUAACCUGCCCCAGACUUUGGGAUAACCCUCGGAAACGGGGGCUAAUACCGGAUACGACACAGCUUCGCAUGGGGUCUGUGUGGAAAGUUUUUCGGUUUGGGAUGGGCUCGCGGCCUAUCAGCUUGUUGGUGGGGUGAUGGCAUACCAAGGCGACGACGGGUAGCCGGCCUGAGAGGGCGACCGGCCACACUGGGACUGAGACACGGCCCAGACUCCUACGGGAGGCAGCAGUGGGGAAUAUUGCACAAUGGGCGGAAGCCUGAUGCAGCGACGCCGCGUGAGGGAUGACGGCCUUCGGGUUGUAAACCUCUUUCAGCAGGGACGAAGCGUAAGUGACGGUACCUGCAGAAGAAGCGCCGGCCAACUACGUG
RNAcentral lists this ribosomal RNA (462 nucleotides) under uncultured bacterium. RNAcentral's name for it is "partial 16S ribosomal RNA". It matches the Rfam family "Bacterial small subunit ribosomal RNA", at positions 28 to 507 of the family's 1533-position model. The record is from RNAcentral.